UUAAAAUAACACUAAAGAUUAUAGGCUUCAGUAUAUAAAGUAUUUACCAAAAACUCAAUAUUUUCGAAGGGCUUAAAACAUAGAUUUUUAGAAAUUUUUUUAAAAAUAUGACUAUAUUGUUUUAAUGCAUAGUUGCAUCCUGCACUAACAUAUGAUGAUGUUCAACGAGGUUUGGAGCCUUGGUUGUCUCCUUUUUUCAAGAAAAUAGUUAUUUUAUUGUAGUUAUUUCGUCGAUUUAGGGAGUAUUAUGAAGUUUUACUAAAUUAAUUGAUAAACAAAUUAUAACGAUUCACAUAUACCAUGUAAAAGAGUUUAAAGUACAUUUAUACAAAUGUAGAAUGUGGUUAGAAAUAUUAAAACAACUCUAAAGAUUAUAGGCUUCAGUAUAUAAAGCAUUCACCAAAAACUCAAUAUUUUCGAAGGGGUUAACACAUGGAUAUUGAGAAAUUU
This is a long non-coding RNA of Brassica rapa (field mustard), 450 nucleotides long. RefSeq lists it as uncharacterized. The record is from RefSeq and is a predicted model, not a curated record. NCBI's taxonomy places the organism in Eukaryota, Viridiplantae, Streptophyta, Magnoliopsida, Brassicales, Brassicaceae.